RNAcentral lists this unclassified non-coding RNA (1539 nucleotides) under Hevea brasiliensis (rubber tree). The record is from RNAcentral. Lineage: Eukaryota; Viridiplantae; Streptophyta; Magnoliopsida; Malpighiales; Euphorbiaceae.
GACAUUAGGUGCUUCUCAGAAGCCUGCACAAAGUGAGCUUAAGAUAAGUAGUCGAAUAAUGAAUAAAGGAAUUAAUGCAGUGUACCAUGUUCUUGAUCAUUAGAUUUGCUAUAAUUAGAAUACCUGUUAGAACAUUAUUUCCACUAUCUCGAGUUUGAGUUUAAGUCGGGGCCAUUUAUAUAUAUAAAAAGAAAAAGAAAACUCGGGACCAUUUCCAAUUUGGACGUUAAGGAAUGAUCUCUACCUGGACAUAUCCUGUGAAUUUCUAUAGCUCAUUUUUGUCUAUUUUGCAGCUAAGACAGAUUGUGGAACCCCUUAAUAACCAAAAUUUGAUCUAUAUCAUCAAUUUCAUUCCUUUGUGUAAAUUUCAAAACACUAUUUGGAGGGAAAUAUUUUUUUUUUUCCUUCUGUUUUUUAUUUGGACAAGUAAAAGAGAAAAAGAGAGGAGGUUCUUGGUAUAUUAAAGUAUACUUACAUCAUUCAGCUUAGCUUGGCUGUUGGUCUCCAACAUAAGCCCAAAAUGAAUGUGAGGGUAAUGUGCCCAAUUUUUGGCAGCAGUACUGAAUGCUUCUCUGUGGCUGAUAUCUGGGUUAUUUGCCUUGAUCCUCUGAAUCUCUUCUCUACACAAAACAUUUAAAUUUCGUUCAUAAAAUAAAAUAAAAAAAAAUUAACAAAGAAAUUCCAUAGCAAUGAAUAAAGGUGUCAUCAGGAGAAAGAUCAGAAAAAUUCAAGAGACUGUGGAUUGCAGUACUUUAUGAACUGGUUAUAUGCAGAAGGUACUCGCUGCCUCUUCUCGGGAGGUCGAUUAACGACCCUGUCCUCAGAAACAUUACUUGCUGGGGCUCGCAUUGAGAUCUUGUUAUUGCACUUGGAUGAGGAACCCAAGUCAAUUCUGUAAGCGGGAAUGCUGUAGUUGGGUGCCUGAGCAUCUUGCCAUGAAAGUGACUGAAAGGCAGCUGCCAUGUUCACGGACCAUAGAUUGGUGCAGUGCCCACAUCGGACGGUUACGAUGUCAAACAAGCUACUACAAGGUACACUCACCUGCACAGAAUAACUCCAUUAAUAAUCAAGUCGAUCUCCAAGGAAGAAGUCUACUUGUAUUAAUUUUCUUGUAUGCAGUGAAACUGAGAGUUAACAAGAAAGAAAAUCCAAUUAGAUAUUGUUUUUCUUCGAUUCUCUCUGUUGAUCCAACGAAAAGAAAGAUCAAAAGCAAAGAAGAAUGGGUUCUUGAAAAAAGUCCGUAUACGGAUGGCUAGCUUCUUUCCGAGAUGAAAAAUUCUAAUAGGGUUGGAUUAAUUAGCUAGAGCUGGGCGAAAAGUUCUAAAAAAAAUGGGUUAUUUGAUGUAAAACAAAAGGGCUAGAAUUUAUCAAAUGUGAAGAAUGAUUUAUCUUUCUUGGUUUGGUUGUCAUGUUUAGAAGAAGAAUUGCCCAAACUGAGAUCUUCAUUUUCUUUUCCUUAUCAGCUAAAGGAGCAGCACUUUGAUGGUGCAGUAGGAUAUUAGCAAGGGAAAGGCAAGUCACAGAGAGAGAGAGAGAGAG